Molecule: ribosomal RNA, 301 nt
Filed under: uncultured bacterium
Lineage: Bacteria
Description: partial 16S ribosomal RNA
Rfam family: Archaeal small subunit ribosomal RNA
Source: RNAcentral
CAGUAGCCGCGGUAAAACCAGCAGCCCAAGUGGUGGUCGCGAUUAUUGGGCCUAAAGCGCUCGUAGCCGGGCCGGUAAGUCCCUUGUGAAAUCGGACGGCCUAACCGUUCGGCGUGCAAGGGAUACUGUCGGUCUUGAGGCCGGGAGACGUCCGAGGUACUCCGGGGGUAGCGGUGAAAUGUUCUGAUCCUCGGGGGACCACCGGUGGCGAAGGCGUUCGACGAGAACGGGCCUGACGGUGAGGGGCGAAGGCUAGGUGAGCAAACGGGAUUAGAUACCCCUGUAGUCCCUGUCUCUUACA